RNAcentral lists this long non-coding RNA (2129 nucleotides) under Brassica napus (rape). RNAcentral's name for it is "long non-coding RNA (BNAP_LNC001991)". Lineage: Eukaryota; Viridiplantae; Streptophyta; Magnoliopsida; Brassicales; Brassicaceae. The record is from RNAcentral.
GGAGAUUUGGCAUUGACCCUUUAAUCAGAAAAUGAAUUUACAUUAACUGAUAAAAGAAAAUUGCAGCAACCCGUGAAUCUACACGAAAACAUAACAUUACAAAAGGUCAAAACCUUUAUAUACAAAAUUGGCAUUAAACAAAAAAAUCAACUCCUAAGAAAAUCAUUUCAUUUUCUCUAAAUAACUAGACACAUGCAUAUCAAAAUACAAAAACACAAAUACCUUAAACUUGGUUUUUCGAAUCUAUUAUUCAUGAAAUCCAAGAAAAUUAUGUUCUUAAUCAGAAUUUUCUUAAAAAUAUAGUAACAACAAAAUGGAAAACAACUUAACUCCAAAGUCUAGAAACAUUUUUAGAUUUCACUUUCUUCUUGUGUCUCAAAAACAGAACUCUGCUCUCUGUUUUAUCUUUUCUCUUUCACUCAAUUCACCAGUGUCUACCACCUCCUCCUUGUGAACUGCCGCCUCUUCUUGGAAAAAAUCCACCUUUCUUAGGUUUAGGUAUCUCAUGAAUGUCCAUCACCUGUAUGGUCCUUUGCUUUUUAGCUGCAUUCAAACCAAUACAAAAGAGUCAUCAAACAAUCCAGUUGAGUAGAAAUAUGAAACUAAAAACAAUCGAAGAAACUGGUUUGAGGUUUGGUCUAUGGUAAACCGAACUCCGUUAAUAUGAAAUAAGGUUGGAUUGGUUCAAACUUGAAAGUGUAGUUUAGUGACCAUGAAGAGUGCAUUAUCUAAUUGCAGUUGGCAGUUGCUUGCUACAUUAGUAGUUUAUUAUGCUUUGUGGUUUCCAAGAAUUUAUAUACUAAUCCAUGCCACUAUGGAGAUAAAGUGAUAUGAUUAGUUAAACAUUAUUUCGACUAAUUAAAAACCUAUAGAGAUUAAAACUUCUAGCAUGGUAUAUAUUUUCUGGUUACAAGUAGGUGUUAAACACGUCAACAAGCACUAAUUUAAAUUAGUAUCUAAUGUAAUAUCCUUUUCCUUGCUAACUGCUUACAAACUUCCUUUAAAACGGAGUUUAAUAAAUUACUUUCUGCUUUUUUUAUGUCAUUUGAAGAAAGAAAAAGAUAAUAGAAAAGUUAAAAAUGAAAUUGUGGAGUGCAUGUGGAGAUGCUCGGUGGAUAAUCUUUGCCAUUUGACUCUUCUCAAUGGACACUUAACUAAAAGAAAACAUCAAUAAAAGUACUUCAAAAUAGAUUAACAAAGGAAAUUAUCUAAUUAUUUAAGCGUAAUUUUGUCUUGUUCCCUUAAAGUAUGCCAAUAUUAAUUACUGUUAAUCCUUCGUAUAAAACAAUAAUUAAGCAAAACAGCUCAUGCGUACCCACAAUGAUUCGGUCAAUACAUAAUUAAAAUGUGUCUCAUUCAUUAUGCGAGUCUCAAGGCUAUAGUUAAAGUCAAAAAGAAAUAUUCUAGUAUUGUUUAUUAUAUACACCAUGUAGUAUUAAACUAUACGACAAACUAAAAGAUAAGCUCGACAUACACAUCAAAAUAUUUUUGGAGAUUUGGCAUUGACCCUUUAAUCAGAAAAUGAAUUUACAUUAACUGAUAAAAGAAAAUUGCAGCAACCCGUGAAUCUACACGAAAACAUAACAUUACAAAAGGUCAAAACCUUUAUAUACAAAAUUGGCAUUAAACAAAAAAAUCAACUCCUAAGAAAAUCAUUUCAUUUUCUCUAAAUAACUAGACACAUGCAUAUCAAAAUACAAAAACACAAAUACCUUAAACUUGGUUUUUCGAAUCUAUUAUUCAUGAAAUCCAAGAAAAUUAUGUUCUUAAUCAGAAUUUUCUUAAAAAUAUAGUAACAACAAAAUGGAAAACAACUUAACUCCAAAGUCUAGAAACAUUUUUAGAUUUCACUUUCUUCUUGUGUCUCAAAAACAGAACUCUGCUCUCUGUUUUAUCUUUUCUCUUUCACUCAAUUCACCAGUGUCUACCACCUCCUCCUUGUGAACUGCCGCCUCUUCUUGGAAAAAAUCCACCUUUCUUAGGUUUAGGUAUCUCAUGAAUGUCCAUCACCUGUAUGGUCCUUUGCUUUUUAGCUGCAUUCAAACCAAUACAAAAGAGUCAUCAAACAAUCCAGUUGAGUAGAAAUAUGAAACUAAAAACAAACCAUUCUCAGCUUGUCGGUAGUUUUG